GAUAUUAGUUGCCGACUGCAAGCAUGGACCAUUUUUGGUUUGUAUAUGUAUGACCGAGCGGUAUAGCAUCCAUCUUCGUGGUGAUGAUGAGCAGUAGCGUCUAUCUCCAAAGUCUCCAAGGUGAUUGGAGUUCUACGAAGACUAAAAAACCAUUGCUUCCACAGCCAACUCUUGUCUUCAUUUAGCCUACAACUCUUUAAUACAGUCACACUUUGAUUAUUGUAUAGCACUGUUUUGGUAGCUUGUAGGCAAGGGUUUUGGACAAAAGCUACAGCGUUUACAGAAUAGGGCUGCAAGAAUUAUUACUGAAUCUGAUUACAACAUUCGGUCCUCAGAUAUCUUAACGUCAUUGUAUUGGACCAACCUUAAAACCAUACGCACUCAACAGUUUAAAACUUUUAUGUAUACAAAACUGUUAAUAACAUGGUUCCUAGUUACUUGUCAACAAAAUUACUGCAAUUUCUGUGAUACACGAACACAAUGUACGAGGCUUUAAACAUAAAACGUUUGUUCCAAGACCCUUAACUGAGUCCUUAGAGAAGAGC
This is a non-coding RNA of Paramuricea clavata, 545 nucleotides long. The record is from the annotation of a GenBank genome assembly. Lineage: Eukaryota; Metazoa; Cnidaria; Anthozoa; Malacalcyonacea; Plexauridae.